GAUGAAGAACGUAGCGAAAUGCGAUACGUAAUGUGAAUUGCAGAAUUCAGUGAAUCAUCGAAUCUUUGAACGCACAUUGCGCCUGCCAGCACUCUGGCAGGCAUGCCUGUUCGAGCGUCAUUUCAACCAUCAAGCCCUAGGCUUGCGUUGGAGCCCUGCGGCUGCCGCAGGCCCCUAAAAGCAGUGGCGGGCUCGCUAUCACACCGAGUGCAGUAGAUUACUCUUCGCUCAGGGCGUGUGGCGGGUUCCAGCCGUGAAACCCCCCACUGUAACCCCAAAGGUUGACCUCGGAUCAGGUAGGAAUACCCGCUGAACUUAAGCAUAUCAAUAAGCGGAGGA
Molecule: unclassified non-coding RNA, 339 nt
Filed under: soil metagenome
Description: partial contains 5.8S ribosomal RNA, internal transcribed spacer 2, and large subunit ribosomal RNA
Rfam family: 5.8S ribosomal RNA (bases 1-120)
Source: RNAcentral